ACGUUCCUGUGAUGAACACUUCUGAGAUGGUGACACGCAUGUCUCCGGGAUCUCUGGUAACUAAAGAGUGCUUGAAUGUCACAUACAACGCCAUUGACACUAAUCUCCAGGAAAUAAAAGUGAUUUACACUGUCAAAGGUUUUACUGCAGAUGAGACCUCUCCAACUCUGUGGAUCACGAAUGGUUCCAUCGGUGUCAUUGUCUUAUGUACAGUCAUUUGUGUACUGGGGUGGUGGAAAAAGCGGUACUUCAGAUGCUGUCACAGGAAUCCUCAGGACAGCCAGGAGCCAACGGCCAACAGAGAACUGGACCAGGUGCUCGUGCCAGUCCAAGGUGGAAA
This 340-nucleotide long non-coding RNA is filed under the name Scleropages formosus (Asian bonytongue). RNAcentral describes it as "lncRNA (ENSSFOG00015027101.1)". Lineage: Eukaryota; Metazoa; Chordata; Actinopteri; Osteoglossiformes; Osteoglossidae. The record is from RNAcentral.